AGAGAGAGAGAGAGAGAGAGAAGGUAGAAUUGGAGAAUUCAUUUGAUUCUGGAAUUGGGUAUACAAGGCAGUCAUUCAUAUGUGAUACCUAUUGAAGAGUUAAAAUACCCACAAAUCCCUGUAUAGUAAUAAUGGAGAAGGUGUACAAUGUAAUAAUGUAAUAUAUGAUGAAACAAUUGGGAUUCAUUUUAUUCACUUAUCUGAAUAGGAUAUUUCAUGCUUGCAUAAUGUUUUCAUAUGUCUAUUAGGAUGUUCUAUUUCUAGGUUAAACUAAUUGGAUCUUGUAAAUUUUGCAGCUUACUGUGUAGUUGCAGUUGAGU
RNAcentral lists this unclassified non-coding RNA (320 nucleotides) under Hevea brasiliensis (rubber tree). Lineage: Eukaryota; Viridiplantae; Streptophyta; Magnoliopsida; Malpighiales; Euphorbiaceae. The record is from RNAcentral.